GUCGGCGUGCUUGCACGCAAAGACACAGGCACGUGAGACCUGCACAGACAUGAGCGUGGAGCGAUUUGCGCAGCAAAUCAGCGGAAUGCGAAUGGCUGUAGGAUUGCGAGAGCGAAGCGAAGCAAUCCGUAGU
Molecule: small RNA, 133 nt
Filed under: bovine gut metagenome
Description: Clostridiales-1 RNA
Rfam family: Clostridiales-1 RNA
Source: RNAcentral